CGGACGUGGCUGGUCGCGCCAGGCGGUGCCAAGCACCCCUGGCAGCCCUGGAGAGGUUUCCCAAAUCCCGAUCUUAUUUUGCAAUCUGGGCGAUGCUUUGACAACUGCCUGGCUGACGGGACUGAUAAGCUGUACUGGUGCUUCGCAGGAAAGCCACGUUGCAAGCAUGAAACUCUCAUGGCUGGGAAUCUGCUGAUGCUGUGACAAAGGGAGCACCGGCGGAAAACCUUUCUCAGGAGGCUGUGCACGAUAAUUAAACCUUGGGGGCUCAGAGAUUUUGGACUCGAGCUUAGAGAAAAACUACACCGAAGACCCGUCCCUCCUAAUCUCCAACUGCUUGCUGUGGGAAUUUUCUUUAGUUACACAUGGCUUCACAGGCAUGAAAAAUUGGACAAAGCGAAGUUAAGUAGCCAGCCCGGGACCACAGAUUUUGCAUGUGAGACCUGGAUUCAAAACGAGCUCUGCUGCUCCCAGAAUACACGCCUUCAACCACAAGACCCUAUUGCUCCCUGAGUUUCACCUGCUGCUUUAUGUCACCUUUGCACUCCAUUUUAGUGUCCUUUCCUCAAGAAAAAAAAUGAAACUCUUGCUCAGCCUCUGGUCAGCCUCGGGUUUGAGGUCUGCCUGUGAACGAUGUCACGUUUCCCCAUGGGGGCCCCUGAAUUUACAAUGAACAGUUACUUAGUUUCUGAAAUAAUCACGUGCAGUUGCUGUGCCUCUGGGAAAGAAGGAAAGGCCCACGUAUCAAAAAACUGUUUUCAAAUAUACAUCUGGGAUCAUCAUUAAGCAUCUCUCAGGAGAAGUCUACAUGUCCAAGGAUUGUUGCUUCAUCAAUAAAGUGGUAGAAUUGGGUCCUCAAAAUGAUUUCUGGGUUGGAAGGGCCUUAUAGAAGUGGAUUCUAUAAGUGGAUUAUAAGAAGUGGAUUCUAUAAAAUUCAGUGUGGAUUCUCCAGGCUGUUGUUUCUCUAGGCCCAGUUCCCCAGAAGCAGAGAAGAAAGUGUCUAUCUCACAACAUGCUCCUUAUGAAGGAUUUCCAACCUUCCUUUCCAAUGAAGUGAGUAUCAUCUUCAAAACGUGUGAAGUCUGGAAGGCAAGAGACCCCAGUUUCCACCCUGGCCUUCCCUUUUCCUAGCAACACGGCUUAAGGCAGUUUGUCGAAUCUGCCUCAGUAUCCUCAAGCAUCGCUAAGUUCAUUUCCGCUUUGACAAGUCCACUAGGAAACCUCUGGCGUACAAGAGAGAUGUGGUGUCAGAACACAAGAAGCAAACUGAACACGGUGCAUCCUAUUUAUUCUUUCUUUGCUUUCGUGGAAUGAAGACUAGCUGAAUACUCCGUCGUGCUUUUCAGUGGCUCCAUACUGAGAGCCCCAGGAGAGAGCACAAUCUGGAGAUGGCUGGAUAUUGGGACAGAAUUCUACGAGCUCUACUAGCAGUAGCACCCGCUUGAGUUCCUGGGAGACGUUCACGAGGAUGCUGGGAGUAACAGAUUGACCCUAGAAUGCCAGGGCAGAGGGGAAGUCACCUGGAGACAUUGGAGACAAAGGCUCUGGGCUCCUUUCUGAGGCUCUGACUCGACGGAAAGGAAAACCACUUUGACUAAAGCACAGGGAAUGGUGGCUCUAAUUUCAGGUUUCUUGGCAGAAGAUAUUGCAAACUAAAACAGUUGGAUCACUUGUUUUGGGGGGAAGCCAGUUGCCAGGUUGAGCAACCCUAAGGAAAGGCUCACACGCCAUGGAACUGAGGUUUCUGGACACCUACCAGCAAUGAGCUGCUGCCUCCCGCCUCCAGUCACGUUACUGGAUUCUCUAAUAUUUACCAGCAAAAAUUGACAGCCUUUCUUCACACUCCUUCUGCAGCCAUCAAACAAGAUUCCACAUGUCAGAUGUAAGGGGCAGAAUUUUGCUGGACAUCACAUAAAGUUGACUGUAAAUGGAGUUUCUGCGAAUUGCUGAUGUGAUUUGUGCAGUUUCCAGAGAUGAACACUGAAAGGAAUGGAGAAGCUGGCUGCACACUCACUAACCCUGAAGGGCCCUUGAGUUGCCAGGCCUGGAGGUUCAGGCCCCAAAUGUCUUUCCAAUGUAGAGAUGUUCUACAUUGUUCAUGCUUAUUUUCUUUGCCUCUGCUUAUUUUCUUUUCUGUACUUUUUUUUUUUUUGACAAAGCAAUGCGAACACAUUUGCAAAAACAGGAAUCUUCAAACCUUUCUAAACCAGUUCAGUGUCCUAAGUGAACAAAAAAUUUUAAAAUAUUCUUGUCCACAUGUUCAUGAGCAGUAGUCAACAUUAAACAGAUCUUAUAAGCAGUAAUAAAUAUAGUUUGAAAAUGUAUUGAGUUCUUCCUGUGGGCCAGCCAAUGAACUAAAUGCUCUCAUUAGAUUGCCUUAUCUAGUCUUUAAAAUAAUGCUCUGUAUGAGGCACACAUUAUCCCCAUUUUGCUUACAAACUCAUAGAGGUGCAGUAAGUUGCAGGUACAUGGUGAAGCUGGGACUUAAACCAUGUCUGUGAGACUCUGAGCUCUGGAUCUUUACCACUUUGCUAUAUUAAGAAUCUCAGAUCUGGAAAGGCACCGAGGUCUCUUUCCAGCCAACUUCAUUGGACAGAUGGGAGAACUGUGGCUCACGCAGCUAGUUGAGGGCAAGCCAAGCUUAGAAACCAGAUUUCCUGCUGCCCAGUCCAAUACUCUUUUAAUUACAAUGUGCUGCCAAAAAAAAUUUUGUAGGGUCACUUCUGUCCAUUUAUCUGUCCAUUCUUAAUAAAGGAUGGUUUUCUUGUGGAGUCCGAAACAUUUAAACGUCCCUGUGUAGGUCACUGAUUGAAAAUGUCAUUCCAUUGAAAAUGCCUCGAAGGACCAUACAUGGAUUUCCAGCAGGGAAGGGUUAAAGUUGCAGGGAUUUUGCAGGCUGGAUCAAAUGUUCUUGAGAGGCCUUUCUUCAUAUCAUGUUUCUUUAGCACUAGGAUAGGGCGAGUAAUCAAAGGUGACAAGCUUUCUUGUCUGGUCCCACUAUCAGUCCGCGGUAGCCCACAAGCACAUUGAUCUGCAGUGGCAGCUGCUGUUAGCCCCUGAUGCAGAGGCCCUAGGCCACCCAGGGCUUCUUCGUGUUAUUGGAAGGAAGGAAGUAACCAAUGUGCCACUAUGAGAGAGUGAAGGCAAAAAGUUUUCUCUACCAACAUGAGACUAAAUCACCUUUAGUUCUUGCAUAAUUGUGAUUAAGGUUCAAUCUGCUUUAGUGACUCAUCUCUGAUACUUGGAUACAGCAGUGCAAUCUCAUUUUAUGGUUGCUGGCCUAUUUGGAUUUUUUGGUUUGCUGCAAUCUGCUGAGGCUUUGGGAAGCUGGAGGCGUUCAAGUAGGAGCAUGUAAUAAAUUAAGCGCUGUGUGAUAAAAGGUUGCUCUGUCUGUGGGGGCAGUGGGUAGCACAGAAUUUACAAAAACCUUUCUCUUCUAGAUUCUCUUGGAUUCUAAGCUACUUUUUGGAGUAGAAGUCAACCAAAGGGAAGGGGGAGAAAAAGGAAUCUACAAUAAUUUGUGCAUCUGCUAUGGGUCAGGCCCUUUACCCACCUGAUCAUCUUUAAAUACUUUCAACUACCUUACAUAAGAGGUGAUGUUUAUCACCAUUAACAUAAGGGGUAUAUGAAUCUGGGAGAGAUUAGCCAACUUGCCAAAGUCAUACACCACAUCAUGUGGAAAGAGUUGGAAAUGGAGGGACCAUGAAGUAGAAUAUAAGAAUGGUCAAGGUCAUUGGCUUCCUGGUGUGGUAUGUCUCAAUCCUUGAGGCUUUCUGCAAGAUGGCUUUGAAUAAGACUGGGUUUUCAUAUUUUGUGUAGGAUUCCUUAAUCUAAGACUCUUGCCCCCAUAAGUCUGGUUUUAUUUCAGUCUCAAACUCUUGCGACAUUGGGAAAUGUCUUACAUUUAUGUCAGGUAUUGUCUAGUCAUUUAAUGAACACUCAGAGAUGAAGAUGAGUAAUCAAUGAGAAUUGUCAGAAGGCAAGUAGUGAGUUACUUUAAGAUACACUUUGACUAGAGUCACUGUAGUUUGGCUUGAUCAGUCAUGACUGACCUGCUCAAUGAACUUUGGUUUGUAAAAUUCAUGGACCUGCGUUGUAGCAUCUGAUCCCUUUUUCUCCACUUUGAUAUCAGGCUUCUUUUCACUAUCCUAGGACUUGGUCACAUUCUAAUUUCUGAUUUGCUCUUCUAAGAGCACUUAGGCUAUUCUGUGCUAUGUUUGUCACUAUCUUCAAAAUCUCAGUCACUGUGUGAGCGUAUAGUGAUCUCUUGUCUAGAAUCUAGCUCCUGCCCCCUCUCUGCUAAGUCUUCCCAUGCAAUGGUGUGACCAAAAAAUAUGCCUGUCUAGAUCAAAGUGUGAAUUCUAUAUUUGCCUAUAAUUAACAUGGGUCAUUCUUUGUUGUAGAAGGUGCUUUGAUUUAUAUAAAAGGUUGCAGAAAGCUAAGAAAUUGGUUUAAAAAGAAGCAAGAAAAAGUAUUGAUUCCUGGAAUGAAAGACUUGUCAAUUUCUUGCCAAAGCAAACCCUUCAUUUGAAAUCAAGUUAUAUCUAAUUUUGAAGGAGUGGAUAGAUGUCUCGUGGUAUUUCCUAUUGUCAUAUCAUACAUGACACAUAUAGAUACGAGUUAUUGUUUUCAGCCACAUUUAUAUUAAAAGAGAGUUAACUAAAUGAGUAGAAUCAAGUGUAAUUAGUUUUACCUAAAUUGUAGGUUUUCAGAGCAAUUAAUAAAACUGAAAGAUGAAAGCUGCUUGUUAAGCAAAGCAAAGAUCAAGGAAUAUAUUUCCUUUAUUGAAUGUCACUCGUAAGCAAACCAACCUACACAAAUCAUUUUCAUGUUUGAAUAUAGCAAAUAUGCAAUCGGAAUAUUCAGCAGUAGCAGCAACUCAGGCAAUUCAUGAAAUGUCUCAGCUCCUGUCUAUAACAUAUACUUUCCACUUCUAAUUCCUGUUCUUAUCCCUGAGCAAGCAGGAGGCAUGGCCGUCAGACACAUGGUGUCUGGAAUCAGAACAGACCUAGAUUUGACUCUAAACUCUGUUCUUCACUAGGUCAGGGGGCACAAACCCGUACCAUUUUCAGCCAUGUUUCCUUCAGCUGUCAAAAUGGAAUUAAGGUCUACGGCUUUAGUUUCCUGGCUGCUAAAUCAAAUGCCAUGCAAUGGGUUAGCCUAAACAAUGGGAAUUUAUUGGCUCAUGGUUUUGAGGCUAAGGGAAGUCCAAAUUCAAGACAUCAUCAAAGCAAUGCUUUCUCACAGAAGACUGUGGUAUCCUGGGGCUGGCUACGGGAGAUAUUGUUCCUUCACUCCUCUGUCAUGUGAUGGUGGCCUUUCCUGGCUUCUCCUUUAUCUUUCAGGUUCCAUUUAUUUUCACCUUCUGGCUGCUCCCUCUGUCUUUCUUUCUGUCUUUCUGUGACCUUCCGUACAAAGCCUUCAGAAAUAGCAUUAUGAUCCAUCCUGAUUUGGCUGCGUCACCCUUAACUAAAGGAAACUUCAAAAGUUCCUAUUUGCAAGGUUUCACACCCAUAGGAAUGGAUUAAGUUUAUUAGUAUGUUUCUCUGGUAUACAUAAUAGUUCCAAGCCACUACAUCUACCUAAUAGGGUAAGUGAAAUUCUUUUGAAAUCAUAUCAAAAGUAUUUGGCAAACUGCUUUUCCCAUGGCUUAAAUUCCAUAAAUGUUAUUUACUAUUAUAUUCACAUAUUCACUGCCUUGGCUUAAAGAAAGCUUUGAAACUGUUUGUGAGGUGACUUUUUUUUUUUUUUUUUUUUUGAGACAAGUUAUGGUUACAUUACCUUUUACAUAGAAUUUAUAUGUCCAUCCUGUUGUGCCAAAAAAAAAUGUUUAUAUAUCUAACAUACAUCUCUACAGAGGGGAAGGGGUGUAAAUGACAAGACACUUUCUUGUUUGUUUCCAGGUUUUAUUUGUAAAAUGAAGGGUCCCUUAGCUCUUCUUAAUAAUAAUAAGAACCUCUUCAGAGAAAGGGCCCUUAGAACAGAGUCCUGCUGUGAGUUGUGCCCAAGAGAAUUAUUCCUGUAAGCACCAAAAGUGCUUUGUGAAAAAAUUUUUACCUCCAAAGCUUUGUGCAAUUUGGAACCCAAAGAUGACUUUCCAGAGAGGCCUUAUUAUAUAGGCACAAGCCCGGGGGAUAGAAAAAAUCAUGAAACAACCUCCAUAAUUUAACUCACAUGUAUGUGAUACUCUCAAACAUUCAAAGCAUCUUCAUAUUUACCUAAGUUGAUCUCACAACAUCCUUGUAAGGGAAAUUAGGCACAUAACAAUGGCCAUUUAAUAGAUAAUGGCACUGAAAUAUGAGGUCAUAAGCCUGUUAAAUUGAGAGCAUGGAAUAAAUACAUGAAACUCACCCUCUGAAGAUGUAUUUAGACAUUCUGUUAGAAACCGCUUAGCAUCUCUUUAACAAUAAGUACACAGACGACUCAUUUUUUAAAAAAUAGUCUGUAAAAAUUCCAAGAAAGCUAGUGGUAUGACUAGUUUUCCGGAAGUCAAUGGGAUCUCCAGCUGUGGCCCAGAGAUUAAAUGAUGGGUGACUCUUUGGUUGAAAAAACACUGGGUCUCCAGGAAGAAAGAAUAUAAAACAUGUUGGAAAAGCCAGUCCAACAAGGAUAUUGGAAAGUAUAAUUUUCAAGGAAGGAGUAAAGAUUUCUCCUUGAAUGCUACCAAAGGGAAAGUUUGACAUACUUUAUUUAGACUGUAAAUAAAUAUACAGUAAUUAUAUAGGGACUUCCAAAAUAGACAGAGACUGUUUCUGACAGUGGGAUAAAAUGGAAAGAAUGCAGAACUUCAGAGCCAGAGUGGUUUAAAUCUUGGCUCCUGACCUAAAUAGCCCUUUGUCUUAGGUAUGUUCACUUUUCUCUAUGACUAACCACAAAAUGAGGACAUUGACUUCUUUAUGGUGUCUUCAGGAAGAUUGAAUGAGAUGUAGUAGGCCAACUAUCCAGUUCUGGCCCUGGCAUAAUGAAUCCACCAUAAAUGUUAUUCCUACUUGGAGCAUAGUAGAAAUGUUCAAAUCCAUCAGUAAAGAAAUAUUUUCCAUAAUGCCUAAAUAAGGCUUUAAAAAAAAAAAUUGUAAAGAAACAAUAACAACAACACUUGUACAAAUAAGCAUACAAAACUUAAUAUGAACCCAAGGAAAAAAAUAUAUCAAAUAACAUACAGAGCAACCAUAUAUAUGAGACCAGAUAUGAGGAACAUAUGGAUAAGAAUUUGCUUAAAAUACACAUGGGCUUAGGAAAAAAAGAGAGAAAAAAAAUUGCUGGCAAAAACGUGUUUGGGCAUUGUGCCAAAUUUGAAAACAUUUGAAUAAAUAGAGUUGAGAAAAAGUAAAGAAUGGUUUCUCUUAUUCACUUGGAUAGUUGUGAAAAGAGAAUUGUAGCAUGUAGAUCAAUAAUCCUUAUCAUGAACUCACAGGCAUUUUGGGAAGACCUAGACAAAGGACACUACCAUCUGGAGUUUGCUGUUUUGGCUUUAAAAAUAAGACCCUUUCUGGAUAAUAUUACUGUUGUGUAGUACGAAGCACUCCACUCAAUGUUAGUAAAUAGGAUGCAUCUUUUGAUUCAGUUUCAGCUUGAACUUCACCAAGAGGAAGGAACAUAUUACACAUGUAAGAUAAAAGCCUGUAUUUUUUGAGUCUGUAAAAGAAUUUGGGAAUUGGUAGUUAAUGCUUAAUUGUUGCAGAGUUUCUCUUUAGGGUGACAGAAAAUUUCAGUAAUGGGUGGUAGUUAUGGUAGCACACAUUCUGAUUUUAAUUAACACACUGGAAUUGUACAUUUGAAUAUAAUUUAAAGAACUUUUAGGUUAUGUAUAUAUAUAUAUAUGUCCCUAGAAUAAGAAAAUUAAAAAGAAAACAACAUAGGAAUAUACAAUAUGAACAUUGAGCCCUGAUGUAAACUGUGGACUAUAGUUAAUAAUAUAAUUAUAAUAAUAUUGUUUCAUCAAUUGUAAUAAGGGUACCACACUAACGCAAAGUUUUAAUAUCAGGAAAACUGUGUGUGUUUGCAUGUAUGUGUAGAAGGGGUGCAUGUGGGAACUCCGUAUUUUCUGCAUGCUUUUUUUUUUAGUAUAAACCUGUAACAUUAAUGAAAAAAAAAAAAAUAAAUCCCUCUCAAAAAAUAGAAUUUGAGAGAUGCUUCCAGAAUGCAAAUUUGUGCCACAUCCUUUUGUCAAUUCCACUAUUCCUCUUUUCAUUUUCAUACACUCGUUAUGCCUAAACAUAGGAAUAAACAUUCUUUUUUUUUGGUAACCAGCACAACGAGAUUGUUUAAAUAAAUACAAUCAUCCAAAACAUUUGAUCCCGAGUUCAUGGCUCUAUUUCAAAUAAAACAUAUACAUUAAUACUAACACUUUCAGUUAAAUACACAUAGACAUCCAGAUUAGAAUAAAUUUUCAACCAUGUUUUGCAGUAUGUAGUCAAUGGUAAAAAAGAUCUUCCGCAUAAAAAAAGACAAUUAUAUUCUCACUCUCAAGAGAAUUCAUCCUUUAUUUCUUAACCCCCAUACCCCCAUCCUCAGAUCCCUUCAUAAGACACGGACCUGAAAUUUCCAAGUUUGAACACCAUUUCUGAAAUCAAAGGAAAUGUGCCCCUAUUGCUUAGCACGCUGCUUCUGCUUCAAUUCCCCUGUUCCUCAACUAAUACAUCUGGAGUGAGCAUCUACUCUGUGGAGUGCACUGGGCUCUUUGGGUCUGCAGUUUAUAGGCAAGAGUCACAGACUCUGCUUUGAGAAGCCAACCACUUGGGAAGGUGCCUUAUACUGUGACGGAGCUUUCUCUGUGGCAUGAGCAAUGUUGAGGCAACAGACUUGUGUUUCCUCGGUCACAGCCUACGGAACCUCACGCAAGGACAAAUCAAAACCAAAGGGAAGUAAAGGUCAAUGCAAAUGAACCAAUAUCCUGCACAGUCCCCACCCCUGCUUCUUGGGGCACCAGUCUGUAAGGUACAUUGGCCUGUUUCCUUGAGAAAGAAACAUUUUUGCUAGCAAUGCAAGUUUUAACGUGUUUCCCCCAGUUUCUCUGAGGAAUAAACUCACCUAAUACUCACGUCCUUUCAUGGUGAAGGACUAAGUGCUGUCUAUAUUCUUUUUAUGAUUCAGCCAAGUUGGUCAGUACUUUCUAAAUACUUGAUACUUCCUCCAACUCUGUAUCUUAGCUCAUUCUUUUCACACAGCAUAUUCUCUCUCUGAAGCCAACCAGUUCUUGAUGUCCGGAACAGCCACACCAGGAAAUCUCAUUUCGGCUUCUGAACGCCUUGAGAACCUCGCAGGUACUUUUCAGGAAGGAAGUCUUGGGUUUGAUCCGGUUCCUUCAUCUUCUUAUUGAUGACCUUGGGUGAGUUAAUUAAUCUCAUUAACCCUUAAUUUUCCUCACUUGUAAAAUGGGAAAAAAACGCUUUUUCCUGAGGGGUACCAUAAAUAAGGCCACCUAAGAUACCGAGCAAAAUGUCUAGCACAUACUACGUGCAAAUCUAGCUUUAUUUUCUAUACCUCUUCAUGGAUUCUUUCCUAUCUAUACUUAGUCACGCUUGUGUUUCUGUUUUACCUCAACUGAAUAGACAGCUCCUCGAGAACCAAGACUCCCUCUUUCCUUGCGUCUUUUCUACCACUGUGGUCUUAAAACAAUGCCAUAAAAGGCAAUGCAAACAUAGUACAUAUAUCAUGUAUAGUUUCAUCCUUUCCAUUUCUUUUGUACAAAACUUACAAAACUCAAUUUUUUCAGUUCAGUUGAUUUUCCAACUGCCCAGAAGUGUCAUCAUGCUAUGUACUGAAAGUAAAUGCUAAAAUGUUUGUUUCUGAUUUUUAUGGGAAAAAAAAAUUGUUUCCGUAUGAGAAGGGUAACAAUCAUUAUAUAAAAACAGCUUCCUAUAAUCUUAAUUUGGGAGGAUGGGUGGGUGCAAGUAACCCUUUCUUCACUUCUUGGAUUGAUGGAUUAAAAAAAAUGCACAGAUUAUCAAUCUGUUUCCCACUCUUUCAGCAGCUUCAACUGUUUUGUUUGUUUGUUUGUUUGUUUGUUUGUUUUAAGUAAAAUUCCAAACUCUGGGUUGUCUAAUGGCAGCUAUAACUCUGAAAGCAAAGAUUUGUCCAAAGCUAAUGGGGAUAUGAAAAUAUCUGAUGUUGCUGUAUUGAGCAGAAUACUACCUAUCUACACCAGUAUCCCCAGAGUCAGCUGAAUAAACUUCUAUAUUCAUGACUUGUCCAUAUUUAAUUUUUAAAAAAAGACAAUACCAUGGACCCUGAAAUAGGUAAAUGUAUAAGAAUCAAAAAGAAAAUUGUUGAUGCCUAUGCCAAAACAGUGUAAAAUUUUACUGCUAAAGCCAAAUAUUAAUGUGUUUCACUCUG
This is a long non-coding RNA of Choloepus didactylus (southern two-toed sloth), 10335 nucleotides long. RefSeq lists it as uncharacterized. The transcript has 7 exons. The record is from RefSeq and is a predicted model, not a curated record. NCBI's taxonomy places the organism in Eukaryota, Metazoa, Chordata, Mammalia, Pilosa, Megalonychidae.